UUUUUUUUUGCACCGGUACUUUUUAUUAAGGUAUAUCUUUUGGUUUAUACACAAACGUAUGCAGUAACCCAUCAGAACCAUAAUGUUGAUAAGAUAGCGUAAUACUAAUAGUAUUGUCUCAAUAGAAGUAUGAUUUUUUACUUUGUUCGUAUCAUAAGUAGUCACGAACGAUAAAUUAAUCAUGGCAAUAUCCAAUCUAAUUAAUACCCGACGGACAUCGCGUUACGAAUAAUAUUUUACUUCUAAACGGAUGAAAUAUAAAGAUAUUUGAGAGGAGGAACACGGCUCUCGGCGAUGCUAAUGCAAUGAUUUAACAAGUUAAGGAACUGACUGACUUAGUUACAAGUAACGAGCGCUCGAGGCGUCGCUAACACGAAUAAUUUACAUUUGUUAAUCGACCCAUCUCUAUAGCUUAUUGUAUUUACAUCUUAAGAGCUCUUGUGGAUAACAGUUCCUACUAUAAAUUUUUAAAUGUAUCAACUGCACCUUUGUGCUUCGAAACAUUACUUUGAGUGGACUUUCGGUGAAUAACUGAGUAUAUAUAAAUCAUCUUUACAUCAAAUUUUUCUUCGAGUCGCCUGAAAAUGAACAAUUUGUUUGCCUUGUAUUAGGCGAUCACGGCGACAUGCAAAUAUUUGUAGAAUCAAAGUCACAAAAUGAGUUGCUAAUCUAAAGAGAUAGAGAUAUUUAGGGAACGAUAACAUUAAAGCUGUAAACUGCACUUAGGUUCACUUCAGCCUCGAGAUAUUACAGGCUGAAGCGUACACAUAUUCUCCGGACACAAUUUUUUUACAAGUUGGCACGCA
This 806-nucleotide unclassified non-coding RNA is filed under the name Melitaea cinxia (Glanville fritillary). RNAcentral describes it as "misc RNA ENSMCXG00005018238.1". Lineage: Eukaryota; Metazoa; Arthropoda; Insecta; Lepidoptera; Nymphalidae. The record is from RNAcentral.